RNAcentral lists this ribosomal RNA (490 nucleotides) under uncultured bacterium. RNAcentral describes it as "partial 16S ribosomal RNA". It matches the Rfam family "Bacterial small subunit ribosomal RNA", at positions 30 to 507 of the family's 1533-position model. The record is from RNAcentral.
AUUGAACGCUGGCGGCAGGCCUAACACAUGCAAGUCGAACGGUAACAGGAAGCAGCUUGCUGCUUCGCUGACGAGUGGCGGACGGGUGAGUAAUGUCUGGGAAGCUGCCUGAUGGAGGGGGAUAACUACUGGAAACGGUAGCUAAUACCGCAUAAUGUCGCAAGACCAAAGAGGGGGACCUUCGGGCCUCUUGCCAUCGGAUGUGCCCAGAUGGGAUUAGCUUGUUGGUGGGGUAACGGCUCACCAAGGCGACGAUCCCUAGCUGGUCUGAGAGGAUGACCAGCCACACUGGAACUGAGACACGGUCCAGACUCCUACGGGAGGCAGCAGUGGGGAAUAUUGCACAAUGGGCGCAAGCCUGAUGCAGCCAUGCCGCGUGUAUGAAGAAGGCCUUCGGGUUGUAAAGUACUUUCAGCGGGGAGGAAGGGAGUAAAGUUAAUACCUUUGCUCAUUGACGUUACCCGAAGAAGAAGCACCGGCUAACUCCGUG